Molecule: non-coding RNA, 120 nt
Filed under: Protocruzia adhaerens
Lineage: Eukaryota; Ciliophora; Spirotrichea
Source: RNAcentral
ACUCCCGUAAGAUCUAAAUAUGGAAGGUCGUAAAUUUGUUCCGUACAGCCAUGAUAGAGUCGUCACAUUUAAUGAAGGUGAUCUACCCUGGCCAAAGGUUGCUCUAGGGUCCUUCUCGCG